UUUAUUUAAAUAUUAGGUUUUUGACGACCUCCCUGGCGAAGUGGUAAACGCUGUGGUCUUCUUAGUUGGAGGUCCCGGGGUCGAUUUCCGGCAGGGUUUGGAAUUUUAUAAUUUCUAAAUCACUUCUGGCCUGGUCUGGU
Long non-coding RNA from Maniola jurtina (meadow brown), 140 nucleotides. RefSeq lists it as uncharacterized. The record is from RefSeq and is a predicted model, not a curated record. Lineage: Eukaryota; Metazoa; Arthropoda; Insecta; Lepidoptera; Nymphalidae. The transcript is spliced from 3 exons.